RNAcentral lists this long non-coding RNA (12375 nucleotides) under Pelobates cultripes (western spadefoot toad). The record is from RNAcentral. Lineage: Eukaryota; Metazoa; Chordata; Amphibia; Anura; Pelobatidae.
GCAAUUAGGUAAAAAGCGGAAAUGUCACGUCAAGACCUUUAACAACAGCCUGCGUAACACAAAAAGACAAGAUACCAGGUGAGAGGUGUGCCCAUGCGGCAUUUAUUAGGAGGGGGUGGACAUUUGGAAUGAAAUGCCUAUCUCAAUCAAUCAGCCAUACAUUAGACAUAAAUUACAAUCUGUGUUAAAAUGACUAAUUAUUGACAUCUGCGGCGCCAUCCUUGUGUAACUGUGUUUUAAUUUUAAAGUUCAGUAAAGGAAUGUGGUUUCCACAGGUGUAUCCUGCCCAUUGUUGGCCAGAAUGAAGUCAUUCGAAAAGAGGAAUUUCAGAAACUUUACUAUGAGCUAUCAUGGGUGGUUCCCCUGUGCGUUCAGGAAGGAAAUACUACGUUGCUCGUAGACAAAGAAAAUGUUGAAAAAAAAAAAAAAGUUCACAGCUUCAUACCAGAUAAAAGAAUAGCCCAUAUUAUUAGAAUGAAAUGUUGCUAAAAUACAAAACUUUUGGAAGAAAACAACAAAUAACUGCUUGACUUACUGCUGGACUCCCUGUGCCACUAGGUCACAGAGGCAAGGUAGAAGGAAGGGGGGAUAUAAGCAGAAGAACACAAGUAAACAAAAAGGGCACUCCACCCAAAAUAAACAUUAACCCUCAGUGCUAACAUACCUCUAGAUUUACACGUACAGCCUUACAACCCGAUUAGAAAAGUAAGAGGUGUCUAAAUCUAUUGGCAUAUUAAAACCCAUAAAGGGUCACUAUCAUCAGCAGACCCAUUACAGCUUAAUGUUGUGGUUUUGGGGCAAAUAGACUCGGCAUUGUAAAUGCUGUAUAAAUGGAGAUGCUGAACUCUCCACAGAGGUGUAGGGGCACACGUCGCAUGGCAAUAUGAGAACAAAAGCAUUAUCUGUUUCUCCUCUUCUCUAUACUACCUGUCAGGUGCAAAGGACAAAACCAAGACUGAGGUUCUCUGUUCCAGGGGAGAAGUAGCUUCAACGUUAUGGCCUUUAUGUAGGUUUCCAUUUUAAUUUUCAGACCCAUAUUUGUUAAAUAUAGGAGGAUAAGAAUUUUUUUUUUUUUUUAAUGUAAAAUCCUAAUUUUCUUGUUUAUUGUGUGUCCUUAAAUUCUUGCAAUUAGUAGACCUUCCAGUAGGAAAACGGACAUUGGUCUCAGAUUUUGUUAAUCCUUUGCCCAAGUCCUCACCAUAACAACUUUAAGAUGUCCUGUACAAACUACACUCUUAGGGAUAGUUACUAUAAGACACAGGCUCAUGUGACACAUGGCUGUACGCGGAUAUAGAUGCACUCGUAAAAAGGCCAUCAUUUCCAAGCACUUCAAGAAAUUGAUGUACUCAAAUGUGCGUUGCCAAGUGAACAAAAGGCCAAAACACAGCAGAACUAGAAAGAUUUUCAAAAUGUCCCCCUCUCACACCUUGGGUACAUUUUGCAUUAUGACUGAAUUCACCAUUUAGUGAUUAACCCCUAUUAAACUUUUAUAUGUGGUUUGCUACUGCUGCACACAAACAUUUUGUUUCUGCAUAGACUAUAAACUAUCUGCCAAAGGUGACUUUGGAACAAUGUGAUAAAGGAACACCUAGUAACUAUUUAUCUAUUGAGUUUGUAAAUGCAACAGCAACAGCUUCCUGUUGAAGGCAGACAGUCUGUUUCUGACUUAAAUGCCCACUUUCUAGUAGCUCAGACUGUUAUGGGUGUGUAUUUUAGUGAUAACAACAUUAACAUGCAGAGCGUAGAGCAUUAAAACUCACCACAAUGUAUGCAUUAAGCUGUACAAAUAAUAUACGUCAAUAUUGGUCUACAAAAUGUAUAUAAUAUUUAUUUUUUUUGAGUCUAAUCGGGAGGGCAUGAUGCAUGAAAAAUAAAAUAAAAAUAAUUAUAUCAUUGACAGCUGGUCCUAUAGCAACAUUACCCUAAAUCACGAUAGUUUAUCAAAAAAUGAGCGAUGAAUAAAAAUCUUUAAAAACAAAAACAAAAAAAAAAACAUUAAUUAAAAUCUCCAACUUGUGGCCUGAAUUUGAAAUAUCUUUUUUAGUUUCUUGACAAUUCAAAAUGUAUUAAAUGACGCCCACAAAUGUUUUUGUGGUCUGUGAGGUUUUUAUUGGGGUAUACCUCAAUCCUGGGAUUUCCAGACAAAUUGCUGGAGGUACCUCUGCAGUAACUAUUUCAAGUGCUUCAAAAAGGAACCUGUUGAGGUUUAAAGUCAUACAAAUGCCAGCCCCACUGGGGGAGCAGAAGAAGCUGGCCUAAUGCUUGUAUUAAUGUACUAGUAAUCUAGGGCUGCUACCUUUAGCAAACAUAGAAACUUGGAGGAGACAUUAAGGAAAUCGACUUAUCACAGUGAAAAGAUAGCUCGGCUGCUGUAUAGUACAAUAAUGGGAGUUAUUAAGGCUUGGUUCCAAACCUGAAUGAACUUUGGCAGCAAACUAGAGGUUGCAGUAAAUGAAGGGAACCUGGCACGAUGCUUGUUCUAAACCAUGCAGCAGUUUCCGCUGACUUAUGUAAAAUUGCAUUAAUUCAACGUCUACACAUGCAACCUUUGGAAUUCCAACCUGUGUGCUCAAGGACUGAACAUUCUAGUGGUUUGAAUUCUGGGUAGCAUGCCUACCAAAGCACACACACUGACCAAACCAAAUAUCUCUCAAGCAAUGCGAACCCACAUAGGUUACAGCGAAUGAACCCAGACAGAAUUUAAAUCAUCCCUUAUAAAUUCACCCAUUGAGAAUAAAUAUUGAAUAUUAAACCUAACUACUUAUAUUCAGGCUCCUAACUAUUACUCACAUGUUGCUCUGCCAGCCCUGAUUGACAUUUGGAGCAUAAAAUGGUGCCUUUAUUUUCAUGGGAACUGCAGGUAUUUAUACCAGAACUACAAAAGACACUUAUUCUAGGCCAGGGGUGCCCAACAGAUAGAUUCUCCAGAGGUUUUAAAACUACAGCUUCCAUGAAAGGCCUGCAAAGCACCAUGGGUGAUGUAGUUCUACAACAUCUGGGGAUCUACCUUUUGGGUACCCCUGGGUACCCCUGUUCCAGACAGAAUUUAAAUGAUCCUUUAUAUCCCGGAUGCGAUGGGUUAUAUAAACAUAGCCACGCAUCCGCCCCUUUCUUACGCAAGAUGCUACUAAGGAGCUUGUCCAUGCUCUAGUAAUCUAAGCAUGGAUUAUUGUAACUCUCUCUUAACAGGUCUUUCCAGAAGUCAUAUUGACUCGCUACAGUCUGUAAUGAAUGCUGCAGCUAGACUGAUUUUCCUCUCCUGUUGCUGCUCUCAAACCUCUCCCCUCUGUCAGUCCUUUCAUUGGCUUCCUGUAUCCUAUAUGAGUCAAUUCAAGGUACUAAUCCACACCUAUAAAGCACUGACCAAUUCUAGCCCCUCCUACAUCUCUUCACUGAUCUGCAGGUAUGCCCCUUCUCAGUCUCUCCGUUCUGCCCAUGACCUUCUCCUGUCCGCUGCUCACACCCGUACGGCCUACUCACGCUUGCAGGACUUCUUGCAGGUGGCUCCUUUCCUUUGAAAUAGCUUGCCUACAAUGAUCAAGCUCUCUCCUAGUCUUCAAUCAUUUAAAAAGUGCCUCAAAACCCAUCUCUUAAGGAAAGCUUAUGGCCUCCCAGAGUAACCUCUACCUCACAUACCUGUCUCUUGCUCUCUCCUAAAGGGCAGCACUCUAUUCUCUCCUCCAGCACGGAUUCACUCCACCUUGUUUGAUUGCUACCUCCUGUCCUGUUGUGUUUUACGCCCCACCUCCUAUAGACUGUAAGCUCGUUUGAGCAGGGUCCUCUUCAACCUAUCGUUCCUGUAAGUUUUUGCAAUUGUCUCAUUUAUUGUUAAAUCUCCCCCUUUGAUAAUAUUGUAAAGCGCCAUGGACUGUGCUGGCGCUAUAUAAAUACCAGUAAUAAUAAAUAAUAAUAAUAAUAAUAAUAAUAAUAAUAAUAGGCAAUACAAAUAUUACAUUUAUACUUUUUAAGUUAUAUUAAAAUCAUGCCUAGGUUGAAAUAUAUUUUUGGAAUUUUUAUUUUGUUUUACAUGUUUAUUUAGUUUGUAAUAAAAGCAAUUAGACUGUAAAUUAUUAGUGCAGUUUCAUAAGUGCCCACGCAGAGGCUAAUGAAGUCAGCAGAAAACAUAUUUAUAUAUCAAUAAGGAGAAAGCAUAAAGAAAUAUAACAGCUUCCAAUAAUCAUAUAUCGAAUUAGGUUGAUCGUGUAUUCUAAUGCAGGCGUCUGAGUAAGCAUAUUUGUACCCGAGUAAUAUAUUAUCUAAUUGAGUGUUUAGUUAGGAUGUGCAACGUUAGGUCAGUGGUGUAUCCUGGUUUUGUGCUGCCCUAGGCAGGACAAAACUCAGGCACCAGCGCCAUCCUCACCCAACCCUUCCACCCUGCCCCGCCUUCUAAAUACAAACACACACAUUCACUGAAAGAUACGCAUACACUAGCUAACAGACACACACACACACACACACACACACACACACUCACAUUAACACACUCACUUUUCUUCUUAAUUUACCCCCCCCGCCUCCUUACCUUUGGGAAUGUUGGGGGGGGGGUUCUUUCUCCCUGGGGUUUAGUGGGGCUACUGGGCAGGUGGCGCUGGCGAGGGAGCACUUUCCCCUGAGCUGUCUGCUCAGCUCCCUUGCGCACCGCAAAGUGAUGCUGGUCACCUGAAGCCGGAAUAUGACGUCAUAUUCUGGCUCCCAGCAUCACCCUGCGGCGCGCGAGGGAGCUGAGCAGACAGCUCAGGGGAAAGUGCUCACUCGCCAGUGCCGCCCGCCUGGCUUGUCAGUUAGCCACAAGGCUAACAAGACAUUUGCCCUGGGCAUUUGGGGCGGCUUUUUUUGCCAUCUCCUGGAAAAUGCCGCCCAAGGCAAAUGCCUUGUUUGCCUCGUGGCUAAAACGUCCCUGCGUUAGGUUACUUAUGCGUAAGUGGAAGAAUUUUUAUUUUGUAUGUGUGGAGUUACGUAGGAAUAAAGGACACUUUUAGAAAUCACACAAAUGCUUUAACACAGCUUUGACUGGAAGCCAUUCAUAGUUGUUAUAAUUUAUGUAGUGCCAACAAAUUCCGCAGCGCUGUACAAUGGAUUUUGUACUGUAAUUGCAAAAUAUAGGCCACAAAUUACUUGAAAUAGUAAAACAUUCUUCAAUGCAGUCAUUUUCCAGCUGAAAUUGUGGCCUAAAUGUGUAAUUUAUAGUUUAGUGAAUUAAUGCUCCUCUUUGGCAGUUUUCCAGAAAUGAUUUGGCCAUGGGGAGGAUGCAGAUGAAAAUAUUGUGAAAUAGGCGGUUUCCUAAUGUAUGGCUCAGAAUGAAAGUGUUUUGAAAUUCCAGCACAGCCCAUUAUCUGCUAAGUGCCUUAAUUUGUAUAGAAAUAUUCAUAUAUGAUUCUUAAAAAAGGGAAAUUGACGCAGCUCCUAUCAGAUGCUAUGCUGCACAUUUGGGUUAAGUCACAAUAGAAAAAAAAAAAAAACAGAACACAAACAAAACAAAACUAUAAUCACACACAAAAGCACUCUGCUAUAGUUUCAGCAUGGUUAUUUUAAUCCGAAUUUUGCAAGUUGAUUUUUAACUUACUGCAGUAUUGGCUCUUUUUUUUUUUUUUCAAUUCGUCAUUUAUUGAAAAAGUUUUGGUAUGUGUGGUACAGAAAAGAAAUGGGGAAAUGGUGGAACAUGUGCAAAUCAAGCAUUUCGAUCUGCAGUAAUAGAGAUUACACGCUAAUUGGCAAUCCAUACAUGAAGGUCAAGGCAACAGAGCCGUUUGCAUUAGCGGUAGGUCCAGUAGGUUAGAACCUUACUGGGUACUCGCACUCUGGAUUUUAUUCGUGGGGGCCAGCAUUACUGAAGCCCUGCGGAGGUAGGGUAGUAUGGUUUGGGCGGUUACGACCCAUUUGUAACAAAACACACAAGUUUGCUGAAACAAUCACCCAAUAUUCAACAUUUAAUCUAGCCCUGUGUCGCAAACUCAUUUCAUCCCCUCUAGAUUGCACAUCAAAUAGGUGGGGAUACGUCAGAACUCGAACAUUCAUAUAACCAUCAUUGAUGUCCACAUAUGUCUGUGUCUACUUAGAAGGCUGUGGACGGGAUACGCUAUAUAGGUGAUAACAUGUUCUGUGACGUGUGGUUAAGCCACCGUUGCCAGCUGUGGUGAGUGGAAGCUAUUUGUUUGGGUGUUGCUGCUGUUAGCAUUCAUUCCAAUUGUCGUAUCUUACGACAUAACUGCGGAGGAGAAGGGCACACAGUUUGUUUCCAGUGGCCAGCGAUCAGAUUGCGUGCAGCCAGGAUUAUUAUUACCAGUAAAUGCCUGUCCGAAGGAGGGACAUUAAUAGGGGAGUAUUGACUUUUUUAAACACCUAUUUUCUGUUUAUCAUUAGAGAUGUCGCGAACCGUCCUUCUCUGGGAGGGAGGGUCUGCUGGAGAUUGGCCGGGAUGUGUCAGCUGACCGGAGUUCGCCGUGAACAGCUCGUGGCGAACCGUUCGCGAGAAGUUCGCGGACGGUUCGCGACAUCUCUAUUUAUCAUGAGACAAAAGUGCUUUUGGUGAUCACACCUACGAUAGUACCAUUGUUCUACUACAAUAAAUAUAAACAAAAAUACAUUGCUCCCCUCAUUGGGUACAGAAAGGCCUAACAAUAAUGGCAGUGCUUUUCAGGAAAGCUCCAAAAUUAAUUUUAUUUAGACCAGACAUGAUAAUGUCACAAUGGACAGAUUUGAAAACCAUGCAUGGUUUGCACGCAUGCAUAUCAUACGUAGGCCCAGAGGAGUUCAAUUCAUAAAAGUACAUUUUCUGGAUUGUUUAGGGAAAUGUUUCUUUCUGCCCUGUAUAUACUUUUUUGAGGAGGCAGUGGAAGACGUACACACAAAAUAUUACCCUGCUACGACAGAUCUGUAGAAUUUAUACCCAUAUCUCCCAACAUGUCAAAUGGGCAGAAAGUGACAUUUAUUUUAGGGAGGGCUGCCUAGAUGGGGCAGUGCCAGCAUAUUAUAGAAACCCUUGUGAUCUUUAGUGCUACUGAAAAUGUAACCCGACCAAAGUAGCUUAUUUACACAUUUAUUUCUAAAUACAUUUAUUACAUCUUAAAUACAUAUCACUGUGAGUUUUAAAGUUCCGAGACUGUUAAACACCCAGACAUCCUAACAAUAUGGAGCUCCUAAAAGAGGGGGGCAUUAGGAUAAACGAGAGAGAGAAAGUUAUUUGAACUAAACUAGGGACUGAGCAUCAUAAAUAGGGACACUUGGGAAGUAUGCAUAUCUCUUAUCCCCCUAAGCCACUUAAGUCUUGAAACAAUGAGACGUAGUCAGAAGUGCUAUGCAGAGGUGUGUGCCUGCCUACGUAGCUUUAAUAAUAGGCUUCACUGCUGUGACUCAGUACUCGACAUAAUUAUAUUAAUUGUGCAGGCCCAAGCAUAUUCUGUAAUUGCAGUACUUGCAGGAAGCCCAGCAUGUCCGGGGUCAUGUAUUAAAUAGUGUUAAUGGUGAGGACUUUGGUUUGGGUGCCAGCUGGCGUGCAUUGACUUGAGGUUAAGCUAUAAGUUACGAUACUACAGGGUGUGUGUGAUUUGUGGUGGGUAAAGAUAGGUGGGGAGCACACGACAAGCUAUAGAAGGACACAUUGGGAGGAUUGCUAAUUAAAGUUGAGAAGAGAUCAGGGCUGCUCUGGGUUGGUACCAGAAAGACUUUUUGAGUCAGUGCAUCCACACCCACCACCUGUACUCUGUGCAGGACAGAAUUCUUUAACUUUUAAUUUUUUUUUUUUUUAUUAUUACAUUUAUUUUUAGAGGAGGACUUCACCCCUCCCAGGCACAAGACUUUGAGUAGGAGUUUUCUCAUAUUCUCCAACUGCACCUUAUCAGAAGUAUCCAAGGUAAAGGAUUGUUAAUGAAUGUGUCUUAAACUUAGGACUGCAUCCCAAAUCCCCUAUCCAUUCGUCAAGACACACAUUGCUUUAGCAAAUGCUCUUGAUUAAAGUUAAAAAUUCCUCCAAAUCAUUUCCUUUACACAAAACCCAAUUAAAUAAGCCUGUAAAUUUCAGGGUAUUUCCCCAAAGGCCACCAACAAACAUUAUCACAUUUCAUAGACACAGAUCAACCUCAUAAGUUUAUCCAGGUGGUCCUCACUUUACUACCAACUCUCUAGCAUGGGAAUUCAAAGGAAUUUUUCAUGAACAUAGAUUAGAGGGAUUCCCUGCUCUUCUGCGCUUGUCUAUGUUUGGGGAAAUUUACCCGAACAUAGACCUCACUUACUGACCAAUUCGUUUUACGACCUGAGUAUCUGUAAUGUGAGGAGUAUCUAAUGACAAGCAUCACAUGAAUAGUGAUGCCUGGCAGUAUGUAGUAGUCAAAUGCCAAAUGUAGGAAAAGUAACUCAAUCUGAGGAAGUCUACAAAAUGAUUGCUAAAUGACACAUCAUGUUCUGCUUAUCACAAAAAGAGACUGUGUGUACUUAAAACAUGGUUGAUUUUUGUCCCUGAAAUGGUCCAAUCAAAUGCUUUUUAUGACAAGCAUUUGAUUGGACCAGGCGAGGUAAUCAGUGACAUUGGAUAGGGGGUGCGGUGGGGUGACAAACAAUGUGGAGAGCUUCACUUGGCACGUUGUAAUUAAUUUUCUUCCCUUACUUUAAAGGUCUUCAGGGCGUAAGGGGGGAAUAACACCAAAUUGCUAAGGAUCAAUAAAAAAAAAGUUAAAAAGGUUUGGAGUAACCCUAUAAGAAAUAAAUAUGUAUUCUGUACAAGUUUAUUUCAGUCUGGGCAUGAUCCCUGGCAUAUCAUGCAAAUUCCAUGAUUAUUUGCAAAUUAGUACAGAGACAUAAAAGGAAAGCAAAGCUGCUUUUGCCACUUUGCAUAUUGACGCAUAUAGUACUGUUAAAAUGUAUGUAGGAAAUGGGCACAUUAUUUAACUGCAAUCCAACAGCAGACACUUUAGGAAACAGUUGUUUUAACUGUCCCAGUAGGCACCCAGACCACUUCAGCUAAUUGAAGUGGUCUAGGUGCUGUGUCCCUAUUGCACUUAGUGCUGCAAUGUAAAACAUUGCCUUUCCAGAGAACUGCAAUGUUUACAUUGCAGCUCUAAGUUUAAGUCUACCAGACAGCCACUGGGGGAGCUUUGGAAACGUUCUGCAUGAGGACUUCCAGCAUUAGAUUUUCCCCACAGGAAAGCAUUAGGUCUCCCCCGCCGGCAGAAGUUGGCAGAGGAGGAGCGUCUGCGGAGCCUGACCCAGCAUCGAGGGACAUAGGCCCUGGAUUCAGGUAAGUGGGUGAAGGGGUUGUAAAGAACCUCAUGUACUUUGUGAAGUACGUUCGUUUGCACCCUCCCGAAAUGCUAGAGGUUUAGUGAUUAUAGUCCGUUCGCAUAGUACGCUGGUUAGUACUAUCCCGAAAUCCAAGCAGGUUGUGAGAAUAAAUUAAUCGGUUCAUCGGUCACAUACUCAAACAUUAGUCAAGACUUGAUGAAUGGUACAACUGGAAUGUUUUAUUAUGGCCAGGUGGCCCACUUAUAUAGACAGAACCCCAGCAUGGGGUCUCAAGCAAGGACAUAGUAUAACACUCCCACAACAUGCCCAAGACAUUCCCAGGCCUCAGUGUCUGGGAGAUAAUUUAGUGUACUUUGCUUAAACUAAUUAUCUCCCAGGCACUAGAGGUACAAAUCAUAAAACAUAAAAUACCCCAAAUACAUAUAACACAUAGAUGAACCCCCACAAAUAUUCUACCCCAGAUAGCCUGGAUCUGAGCGCCUAACAUAUCCAAAUAGCGCUCAGAUCCUACGAAUAUAACCGAAUCGCCCCCAGGGUAAAGUUUUGACUUUUUGGGAGUUCCAAAAUGAACAAAAAAAACCAAACUGUUCCCCUGUUUAUAGGUAGCGAUUCUUCGCCUUGUUCAUGCGAACAAUCCUACCGAACUGCGCUCUCCUGGCUUGUCGUGGAAAGAAGCAAGUGUUCGUGUGAAAUUACAGGUGAUCGCAAGUCAAGUGUUCAACUUAUAGUUCCAGACACUUGAUGACCAAUAGAGAUGUCGCGAACUUCCCGCGAACGGCUCGCCGCGAGCUCCGGUCAGCUGACACAUCCCGGCCAAUCUCCAGCAGACCCUCCCUCCCAGACCCUCCCACCUCCUGGACAGCAUCCAUGUUGAAGCUGCCUUCGUGGCGAACCGUGGCGAGCCCUUCGUGGGAAGUUCGCGAACGGUUCGCGACAUCACUAAUGACCAAGUCCCGCUGCCUACUUUCGUGUGACAAGAUGGCCGCCGUUUUCUCCAGCACGUGUUGUUUGGUUAUACGAAUGGUGGCCAAAACAGAAAGAGCACUUGAGUUAGUUUAUUUGGAGCUAAUGAACCAAGGGGUGGUCCCAUCUACCGAACACAGGGAAUUUAACUGGGUGAAUAAAAAUACAGAGUUUGUCACAUGGGGUUUAACCCCUUCAGCCCCUCAGGAGGGGAGGGCGCAAUGGAGGGGGGCUCCUUAGGAACCUAUAGAGCCAGGAAAACAGCCUUUAAAUCGGUGUUAUUUACUGAAGUGAGAAUUGCUGGAAUCCAAAUAGAAUUUCAAAAUUUAAGGCCAAAGUAGAUAAACUGGAAAAACUAUCCCAAAUCAACUAGGUUUCCAGCACAAACACACACACUAAAUUAACAUUUUAAACUUUUUACCACCCUGAAGUCAAUGAGGAUUGUUCACUUAAGCGAGAAUUGUUAUCAAUUUAAAGUGAAUUUCAAGUUUAAAGUAUGACUAUAGUGUUUGGAAUAGAAAAACUGUCCCUAACUUUAUAAGUCUGUCCACCACCAUCCGAUGAUUGAAGUGUUAAAAACCCUCUUCCCAUAACCAAUGCUCUGCUAUGGGGAACAUAGCAGAUGUUAGAUGUCCUAAUGCUAAGCGAGAUGACGUCCAAGGUCCAUGAGUGAACCGGAAGUGCUAACAGCCAAGAGAGGAGGUUGAGUUAACACUGCAAUGUAAUCACUGCAGUUUAUCAGAACAUGUUUUACAUUGCAGAGUUAAACAAAGAGGGACACUGCACCUAGACUCCUUCAAUGAGAUGAAGUGGUCUGGGUGCCUAUAGUGUCACUUUAAGGGCUAAAUUGGAAGCAUAGAUAACUUGAGACAAUUCUCACUUCAGUGACACACUUUGAAAUAACAUAAAUUUGAAAGCUAGCCUUGUGCACAAAUCAAAUUUCUGUUCAAAAUACUUCUGUUUAAAUAGCGCAAAAACUUAUAUCAGCAUCUCCAAUAAAUCUGACAUACAGCAUUUCUGGGCUCCUAGCAACUACACACCAUGGACAUCUACACGUUUCAUUCGAAAGGCAAUUUGUCAGUUCCAGUUAAGUUAGAACCAUUCUACCCUCCUGACGAUAUAGAGAUAUUACAGGUUAAUUGAUUAAAAAGUCAUGCAGCAAUGACUUUGUAAUUUUAAAUCAAUUGCCUACAUUGGUAAAUAUAGAAUACUAUUUGCAAUUUUAAAAAUGUAAAAUAAAUGAAUAAAAAAAAAUUUAUAAAACCAGUAAACAACCUUACCAAUACACAUAUAUUGAAAAAACAAUUCUAAAUACCACCAGUUUAUUAAGUUUACAAUAUAGUAACAUCACUCAGUUUAUACUUUGUAUGAACUAUAGAGAAAACCAUUCUUUCUACAUGUCACUAUAUUUAUGAAAUAAAUAACAUCUUUCAAAUUGCAACAAAAUGUAUACUAAAUGAUAGUUUCCCCUUCCUAUUCAAAGUAUAACAGUUAAACAUAUAGGUAUUAGAAGAUGAAAAGAGCAAUUAUAAAGAACAAACAAAACAAAAACAAAAAUUUUUUAAAAAUAAAAUACAAAACAAAAAGCCCCUUGAUCAGCCAUAAUCAGUAUAGGAAGGAAAUGUCUCAUGCCACAUUCAGAGCCCUGGUAACCGAGGUAAAUAGCCAAAAAAAUGCAUCUGCCUCAUGCCAUAGCAGAGAUUAGGACACUGAUUGGCUGAGAGCACUCAGGUGAUGCUACCCCAUUACAUGGCUCUGAUAUUUUAUUAUUGCAGGUAGUUGGGGGACUAAGCCAUUUAGAAGUGGUGCGGAUGCCAGUGCUGGGUGACGCCAGACACCAUAAUCACUUUAAUCAGUAGAAGUGGCUAUGGUGCCUACAGUGUACCUUUUAAUCAAUUCUGCUAUUCACAAAAGACAAAAUUAUGUAUUUCAAUCACAUUUGCACUUCUAUUCAGUUUCAGUUUAAAAGUCAGGCAAAUCUCCAUAUAACAUAGGUGAUUCAACCAUUCAUUUGUUCCAAUUCCCCAGAUACUAACCAGGAGAAACUGGAACUACAAUUCAAAGCUCUGUGAAAUUGCUGCUUAAGGCUACAUACACCAAACAUCACUUCUCAUGAGAGAGACAUUUUAGUACAUGAACAUAUUUCAGAAACAUUUCAUACCUCCUCCAUGAUGCACC